AUUGUCUUUGUGGCAAUUUUGAGAUGCAGUGUAUGGAAUGUCAAAUUUCUAGUAUGAGAAAUUAACGAUUUAAGUCCUUCUUAAAUGAGGCCAUUUACCCAAAGAGGGUGCCAGGCCCGUAUAACGUUAAUGAUUAUUAGAUGGCAUUUCCAAAGAGUCGUGUUGCUUGAUAGUGCAGCACUAAGCGGGUGGUAAACUCCAUCUAAAACUAAAUAUAACCAUGAGACCGAUAGCAAACAAGUACCGUGAGGGAAAGUUGAAAAGAACUCUGAAUAGAGAGUUAAAUAGUACGUGAAACUGCUUAGAGGUUAAGCCCGAUGAACCUGAAUAUCCCUUAUAGGAAAUUCAUCUCUAUGAUUUUAAUAUAUUUUAAUAAUAGUGUGCAUUUUUUCUAUAAAAGGGACAUUGUAAUCUAUUAACAUGUGGUAUUUAUCACAAGAUCAGCUUAAGUUUAUUUAAAUUAUUUUGCUUGCAAAUUAACAUAAAAUAAAUGCUAUUGAUUUGAUAAAGUGUUGAUGGGUAUAUAUAUAGCGCUUAAAUAAUAUUUUAUAACAGCAUAAUUAAUUUUUAAUGUUCGUUAUAUGCGCUUAUAUGAUUAACAAUGCGAAAGAUUCAGGAUACCUUCGGGACCCGUCUUGAAACACGGACCAAGGAGUCUAACAUAUUUGCAAGUUAUUGGGUUAAACCUAAUAGCGAAAUUAACAUAACAAAUUGGGAUUAGUUUUAAGACUUUUAAUUCAAUCCCGGGGCGUUCUAUAAAGUUAUGUAUAAUAAUAUUUAUAUUAUUUAUACCUCUAACUGGAGCGUACCUUGAGCAUAUAUGCUGUGACCCGAAAGAUGGUGAACUAUACUUGAUCAGGUUGAAGUCAGGGGAAACCCUGAUGGAAGACCGAAACAGUUCUGACGUGCAAAUCGAUUGUCAGAAUUGAGUAUAGGGGCGAAAGACCAAUCGAACCAUCUAGUAGCUGGUUCCCUCCGAAGUUUCCCUCAGGAUAGCUGGUGCAUUUAAAAUUUAAGUAAAAUAAUCUUAUCUGGUAAAGCGAAUGAUUAGAGGCCUUAGGGUCGAAACGAUCUUAACCUAUUCUCAAACUUUAAAUGGGUAAGAACCUCACCUUUCUUGGUAUGAAGGUCGUGGUUGUGAUAUAAUGUGCCCAGUGGGCCACUUUUGGUAAGCAGAACUGGCGCUGUGGGAUGAACCAAACGUAAUGUUACGGUGCCCAAAUUAACAACUCAUGCAGAUACCAUGAAAGGCGUU
RNAcentral lists this ribosomal RNA (1255 nucleotides) under Neoethilla ignobilis. Its description in RNAcentral is "partial 28S ribosomal RNA". It matches the Rfam family "Eukaryotic large subunit ribosomal RNA", at positions 123 to 1225 of the family's 3401-position model. Lineage: Eukaryota; Metazoa; Arthropoda; Insecta; Diptera; Tachinidae. The record is from RNAcentral.